This is a non-coding RNA of Bos taurus (domestic cattle), 73 nucleotides long. NCBI's taxonomy places the organism in Eukaryota, Metazoa, Chordata, Mammalia, Artiodactyla, Bovidae. The record is from Rfam.
GCCGGAAUAGCUCAGCUGGGAGAGCGUUACACUGAAGAUCUAAAGGUCCCUGGUUCAACCCCGGGUUUCGGCA